RNAcentral lists this ribosomal RNA (696 nucleotides) under uncultured bacterium. Its description in RNAcentral is "bacterial SSU rRNA". It matches the Rfam family "Bacterial small subunit ribosomal RNA", at positions 32 to 715 of the family's 1533-position model. The record is from RNAcentral.
AACGCUAGCUACAGGCUUAACACAUGCAAGUCGAGGGGAAACGACAUUGAAAGCUUGCUUUUGAUGGGCGUCGACCGGCGCACGGGUGAGUAACGCGUAUCCAACCUGCCCACCACUUGGGGAUAACCUUGCGAAAGUAAGACUAAUACCCAAUGAUAUCUCUAGAAGGCAUCUGAAAGAGAUUAAAGAUUUAUCGGUGAUGGAUGGGGAUGCGUCUGAUUAGCUUGUUGGCGGGGUAACGGCCCACCAAGGCAACGAUCAGUAGGGGUUCUGAGAGGAAGGUCCCCCACAUUGGAACUGAGACACGGUCCAAACUCCUACGGGAGGCAGCAGUGAGGAAUAUUGGUCAAUGGACGAGAGUCUGAACCAGCCAAGUAGCGUGCAGGAAGACGGCCCUAUGGGUUGUAAACUGCUUUUAUAAGGGAAUAAAGUGAGAGUCGUGACUCUUUUUGCAUGUACCUUAUGAAUAAGGACCGGCUAAUUCCGUGCCAGCAGCCGCGGUAAUACGGAAGGUCCGGGCGUUAUCCGGAUUUAUUGGGUUUAAAGGGAGCGUAGGCCGGAGAUUAAGCGUGUUGUGAAAUGUAGACGCUCAACGUCUGCACUGCAGCGCGAACUGGUUUCCUUGAGUACGCACAAAGUGGGCGGAAUUCGUGGUGUAGCGGUGAAAUGCUUAGAUAUCACGAAGAACUCCGAUUG